Molecule: unclassified non-coding RNA, 2534 nt
Organism: Drosophila serrata
Lineage: Eukaryota; Metazoa; Arthropoda; Insecta; Diptera; Drosophilidae
Source: RefSeq, a predicted model, not a curated record
CAACAUAAAUUACUAAACUGGAAGAAGAUUUACCAAGUUUGCGAUUCGUUUUUAGUUAGGAAUCUGUAACAAUGGUUAAUUUAAGGUUUCUGCUGUUGAUUCUAACGCCUUUUUUUGGGCUGCAAAUUAAGGCUGAGUUCAAAACUUGGCCAGAUCCAUAUAACGUUGCAAUAUCCUCAGAAAGACAACUGUCACUCUUAAAGCUAAAAGAGCGACAAGUAAACAAUCUUUACAAUUACAGAGAAGAAUUGAAAUCGCAUCUUAAACAUGUUCAGUUAGCUGUGAAACAUUCAAGGGAACUGCUAAAAUCGGCUUCGCAUUAUCCUAACAACUUGUUGAUUGGCUUUAAAUUAAUACGGCACUUACGGAAUGAUUGGCCACAAUAUUUAAAGUUUAUGAAUACCAAAUUGGGCACAGAAGAGAUUGCAUUUUCUCAGGAACAAUUAUCAACUCUGCCAACGUCAGAGGAUUUUAUCGAUGCCCUGACAGCGAUCUAUAAACUUCAAACUAUAUAUGAUUUGGAUGCCGCUGAUAUGGCAAGUGGAAUAUUGGAUGGAAAACAAUACAAUGUUAAAAAUUGGGGUACGGAUGAGUGCUUAAUUUUGGGUCUGAUGUAUCAAACCGUGAAGCUGUACGACAAAUCGGAGUAUUGGCUACAACUGGCUCUAUUUUACUACAGUGAAUAUUCCCAUCAAAAGCAGCUUGACGUUACGCUGUGGAAGUAUCAUAACAUAUUAGAAUCUAUAGUAGAAGCUUACAAAGGAAUGGGAAACUACAUAGAUGCUAAGCAAUAUGCGCUAGAAAUCCUUGCCAUUCAGCCGAAUCACACUUACAUGCUAAGCCAAAUUCCGAAGCUUGACUAUCUGGAAAAGAAUCCUGCCAAUAUAACAGAAGUUGAGAAAGAUUUUCAGCGUCAAAAAAGACUUUGUACGAAAAGUUAUAUGAAAAGAUUGGCAAAUCUUUACUGUUAUUAUGAAAGCUGGUCGCCAUUCCUACGCUUGGCUCCAAUCAAAGUAGAGGAAUUAUCCGAGGAAAUAUAUCUAAAUAUAUUCCCUGAUUUUAUCAGUCAAAAAGAAAUCGAUGUACUAAAAAAUGCUGCCAAAACCAAUCUUCAACGCGUCGAGGACCUAUCAUGGAACUGCAGUUGUAUGGUGGCUGAGCUAUCGGGUUCCUCAAAUAAUGUUAUUCAUAACAUUAAUCGAAGAAUUAUGGACAUAACCGGAAUGAGAAUCGAUAAAAAUGAUAUGCUGCAAGUCAUAAAUUAUGGCAUGGCAGGAAAUUACAAUCCAGAUGACACUGAAAAAUCAGAAAAUGUUCAUAAAGGAAAUGUCCUGAUAUUUUUAAGCAAUGCUGAGCAUGGUGGAGAAACUGUUUUCGAUUCUUUGGAAUUAAAAGUGAAACCUAUUAAGGGUUCUAUGCUGAUUUGGGCUAACAGCCAAGACAUUGUUCUUCAUCAUCAGUGCCCUCUUUUGAAAGGAAAUAUGUGGUUGGCUUCAAAAAAGCUGAACUAAGCUUUAUCAAGCUUGGGCAUUUUGCUGGCAUGUAAACAAUGCCACAGUGCCACAGAGCAGUGGCAUCAGAGCAUCAGCGGGCCAGGGCUAAAACUUAAUUAAGUCCGAUGGAGGACGACGGCGUGGCGAUGCCCGAAAUGCAGGAAACCCCAAAGAAAGUUUCUUUUUGCGCAAAAAGGAUUGCCAGUUUAAAAUAAAAAUUGCCACAAAGUUUCAACCAAAGCGGCGGUGACUUCUAUGGACACCGAUGCCAGGGAGCAAGGGAUUCGCAUCCAUCAGUGUGAAACCGAAAGCCAACUGCCAGUCCCAGUCGGAGCAGGAGCCAGAGCCAGAGCCAAAGCCAGAGCCAGGGAGCAAUCAACCGGACACCUUCCAUAGAUGCCCAACGAAUAGAUGGAUGACGGAGACUAUAUCGACCCGACUCCUCCUCCGCACACCUUUGGCCAUGGGUAGCCGGGUCAUAAAAAUUUCAAACUGCAACCUGGACAUCCUGGAUACUGAUGCUUUCAUACUCGCUUGUAACGUCUCUAGCCCCCUGUGAAAGGCUUCCGGGCAUGCUGCUUAAAAGCUCAGCUAAGGGUCGUCUAAUGGAUGCGGCAGGACACCUGUCCGGGUCGGAGAGCAGGUCCUGGGCUUCGUUGAAGUCCUGGCGAUCCGGUAAAUCCUGCAAAAUUGAGCUGGAUGAAAUCUGUGCAUUCGGUUUGUUUUCCUUCCCCCUGCCACUGUCAGUGUGUGCUGACAUUUCUGCGAGUUUUUACUCAUAUUUUUUUGUCUUCUACAGCUCCGUUUUACAGCUGGCCAAAGGACAGAAUCCGAAACAAGUGUCCUGUACACAUAUUGAGCUUUUGAUAGUUUGUUUUCCUCUGCACCAUUUUCACACAUUGAUGGGAAAAAGGAUGACUAAAGCGGAAAGAACAAUUUAUGGCAAUGAUAAAGAAUGCUAAUUGAGAAACACCAAUAUCUCGGAUACUAUUAAUGAUAGAGCUGCAAAAAUUGGACACAAAUAUUCCUCACAUCUGGAUG